AACCUCUGAGCUAAGCUAAGUGGG
Molecule: transfer RNA, 24 nt
Filed under: Turnera bahiensis var. bahiensis
Lineage: Eukaryota; Viridiplantae; Streptophyta; Magnoliopsida; Malpighiales; Passifloraceae
Also listed under: 1 other name
Description: partial tRNA-Thr
Source: RNAcentral